AGCAGAUGCAUUGGCAGCAGUCAGAAAAGGCGUCGCUCUAUUUGCUGCGGAUUUUGGGAGCGACACGGGGACCUUUGUUUACUGCGUGGGGAAGAAAAGCCACUCCUAAGUCCAUAGGCGGAGUUCCAAUGCUUGGCGGUGCAGUAAUGGGGGGAAACUUCACCGGUUGGACUUCUGCCUGUCUGGCAGGUGUUGGCAGCUUUUCCAGGGACUAUGCAGAGCCACUCGGGGCAGCAGGGCAGGGAAAGCCCCGG
This 254-nucleotide long non-coding RNA is filed under the name Podarcis lilfordi (Lilford's wall lizard). The record is from RNAcentral. Lineage: Eukaryota; Metazoa; Chordata; Lepidosauria; Squamata; Lacertidae.